CGUGUAGGCGGUUUGUUAAGUCUGUUGUGAAAGCCCUGGGCUCAACCCAGGAAGUGCACUGGAUACUGGCAGACUUGAAUACGGGAGAGGGUAGUGGAAUUCCUAGUGUAGGAGUGAAAUCCGUAGAUAUUAGGAGGAACACCGGUGGCGAAGGCGGCUGCCUGGACCGAUAUUGACGCUGAGACGCGAAAGCGUGGGUAGCAAACA
Molecule: ribosomal RNA, 207 nt
Filed under: uncultured delta proteobacterium
Lineage: Bacteria; Deltaproteobacteria
Description: partial 16S ribosomal RNA
Rfam family: Bacterial small subunit ribosomal RNA
Source: RNAcentral